This 266-nucleotide ribosomal RNA is filed under the name uncultured soil bacterium. Its description in RNAcentral is "partial 16S ribosomal RNA". It matches the Rfam family "Bacterial small subunit ribosomal RNA", at positions 26 to 290 of the family's 1533-position model. The record is from RNAcentral.
AGGACGAACGCUGGCGGCGUGCUUAACACAUGCAAGACGAGCGGUAAGGCUCCUUCGGGGGUACACGAGCGGCGAACGGGUGAGUAACACGUGAGUAAUCUGCCCUCCACUUGGGGAUAAGCUUCGGAAACGGGGUCUAAUACCUGAUACGACACAGUCUUGCAUGAGAUCUGUGUGGUAAAGUUUUUUCGGUGGGGGAUGUGCUCGCGGCCUAUCAGCUUGGUUGGUGGGGUAAUGGCCUACCAAGGCUUCGGACGGGUAGCCGG